Molecule: long non-coding RNA, 588 nt
Filed under: Hordeum vulgare
Lineage: Eukaryota; Viridiplantae; Streptophyta; Magnoliopsida; Poales; Poaceae
Description: long non-coding RNA (HVUL_LNC001885)
Source: RNAcentral
CAAACUAUACAUACACCCCAAGAUGGACAAGCCCAGUUGAUCGCGUGCAUGUGCUUUUGGUCGACCCUUUUGGUGCAGAGUGCGUAAAAUAGGGUGUUCCACACGCAAAGACUUCCAGGUCGUGAGAAGUCGCUAGCACGUGGAAGGGAGAACAAACCAGAAGUGUCAUGCUCGGCCUGGUGGUUAGGACGAGAACAUGCACUCGGCCGCGCCUAGAAACUAGGCUCAUUGGUUGUGGACGUGCACAACGAGGACUAGUCAACACAAACCGCUCAACUUAAAGCACCUUUUUGCAAUUUUUUGAGUUUUCCUGAAUUGGUGAUUUUCCCCCAAAUUUUGUGCACUUUUAAAAUUUUAUAUAGUUUACAGUUUUUUAGAUUUACGAUUUUCAUUUUUCAACUAUCUACUAUGAAAUGGUCAACUGGACAAUGACCAAUGAUGAACUAGGUCAAUGGUUGACCGGUCCAACAAAGGGGUGACUGACUGAGUGAGUGAAUGGCUAAUUUCUUUUUGACCAGCUAACAGUUUGUAGCAUGUGGACGUCAACACUAUAACUGAUGCAAUACGAGAUCUCUAAGAUGGAGGCAU